ACGCCUGCCCGGUGAACAAUUUAACGGCCGCGGUAUCCUAACCGUGCAAAGGUAGCAUAAUCAUUUGUCUACUAAUUAUAGACCAGUAUGAAAGGCAUAAUGAGGAUCCAACUGUCUCUUAUAGUUGAUCAAUUAAACUGAUCUCUUAGUAAAAAAGCUAAGAUUUCCCCAUAAGACCAGAAGACCCUGUGAAGCUUAAACUAAAUUAUUAACCCUAAUAAUAAUUACUUUCGGUUGGGGUGACCUUGGAAAAAAAAAGAACUUCCAAAUACCACGAUCUAUCCUAUCUCAAAUAUAGGCCGACAAGCCAUUAAACGACCCAGUACAACUGACAAUUGAACCAAGUUACUCCAGGGAUAACAGCGCAAUCCUCUUCAAGAGCCCAUAUCAAAAAGAGGGUUUACGACCUCGAUGUUGGAUCAGGACAUCCUAAUGGUGCAACCGCUAUUAAGGGUUCGUUUGUUCAACGAUUAACAGUCCUACGUGAU
Molecule: ribosomal RNA, 488 nt
Filed under: Rhamnophis aethiopissa
Lineage: Eukaryota; Metazoa; Chordata; Lepidosauria; Squamata; Colubridae
Description: partial large subunit ribosomal RNA
Rfam family: Bacterial large subunit ribosomal RNA
Source: RNAcentral